Molecule: ribosomal RNA, 440 nt
Filed under: uncultured bacterium
Lineage: Bacteria
Description: partial 16S ribosomal RNA
Rfam family: Bacterial small subunit ribosomal RNA
Source: RNAcentral
CCUACGGGUGGCAGCAGUAGGGAAUAUUGCGCAAUGGGCGAAAGCCUGAAGCAGCAACGCCGCGUGAAAGAGACGGGCUUUGGGGUGUAAAGAUCUGUUAGUGGGGACGAAACUUGACGGUACCCACAGAGGAAGCACCGGCUAACUCCGUGCCAGCAGCCGCGGUAAUACGGGGGGUGCAAGCGUUGUCCGGAAUCAUUGGGCGUAAAGGGGUCGUAGGCGGCUCGGAAAGUCUGGUGUUAAAGUCGGAGGCUCAACUUCUGUACUGCAGUGGAUACUUGAGAGCUGGAAUGCGGUAGAGGUAAGGGGAAUUCCAGGUGUAGCGGUGAAAUGCUUAGAUAUCAAGAGGAACAUCGGUGGCGUAGGCGCUUUUCUGGACCUUAAUUGACGCUGAGGAACGAAAGCCAGGGUAGCAAAUAGGAUUAGAUACCCUAGUAGUC